Mobula hypostoma (lesser devil ray) is the source of this 6802-nucleotide RNA transcript. It is a transcript of the gene named centrosomal protein 295, with no coding region annotated. The record is from RefSeq and is a predicted model, not a curated record. Lineage: Eukaryota; Metazoa; Chordata; Chondrichthyes; Myliobatiformes; Myliobatidae. The transcript has 30 exons.
CCAUGGUCGUUAUUAAAUGGCGGCGAGCGACGGCUGGGGUCGAAUUUUAAAUCGGGGAGUUUUUGCUGGAUGGAGUAGAUAUGAGAAAGAUGAAAAGAAAAGUGGCCAAGUUGAGUGGCUUUCGUCUAAGUCCAAAUGAAGAAGCACUUUUGAUAAAGGAAGAGCAUGAGAGGCGAAGGAGGUUAAGAAUAAAACAGGUCAGAGAACAGGAGCGUUUCAUUGCUGAGCAGAUCCGGGAAAAAGUAAAGCAGUGUCGUAAUCAACAACUUGAGCAACUGGCAAAUGAGUUGAAGGCUGAAUGGCAAUUGGCACAAGGCGAAAAAACAAAGUGUCUAGAGAAGUUGUAUCUUAGUAGUUUAAAGGCAGUUGGUGAAGGCCACAGACAAGCUCAAGAAAAUGAGCCAGACUUGAAAAUUCAAUCAAAACAGGCAGCAGUUAACAGAGAAAAGGCUGAGAAAAGACAUAGAGAAGCAUUAAGGGAGUUGAAGCAGCAAAGAGAAAAAGAACAUGAAGUUCAAACCAGGUAUAUCAAAACUCGCAAAAAAGCACUACUCAUUGAGAAAAAAAGGGCAAUAACAAUUGCACACCUUCCACCACCUCCAACCAACCCCUUUGCUGAUCUAGAAGUUCCAAAAUACCCAACAGUGAAGAUGUAUGAUAUUGACAGCUUCUCUGCCACACACUAUCAUCUGCCUGAGCCUUAUGUGAACAGGGAAAUGAACUCAAAACAGGUUAGUGCUCGACUGACUGCUGAAAAGGAAGAAAAGCGUUUAGAGGAAUUGAAACAGGAGGCUGAGAUGGAAAGACAAGAGCAGCUUGAGAAAGCUAGAUUGAGAGGCAGUCGUGCUCUCCAAUUAGUUCAUUUGAUGCAGGACAAAGAGAAACUGAUCAAGGAGCUGGAACAAAUGCAGCUUGCAGACUUGACCCAUAGAAGGCAGGCAGUGUCUCAAAUGCCACAGCAGCUGUUUGAACCACCAUAUAGACGAGUGGAGAUAAACAAGGAUCGGCAGAAAGAGAUGGAAAUUGCAUUUGAGGAUAUGUAUGCUGAUGAUAAAAAAAUCAAAGGUGAUGUGUUAUUACGUCUUGAGCCUGAACCAUUACCAGCCCCAUCUGUUGAAACGCAGGAUGAAGAUUUAGAUCUCUCUGUGGAACUGGAAGGAUUUCAAGAGGAGCAAUGUGCAAAAGGAGAUCAAGAAGAAUCUGAGAUUAAACACUUUAGAAAAACAGAAGUUUCACCAUUAAUUGUAACUGGUCAGCCCUCUGCAAGCCCUUCUAAAACUGCCUUGAUGAAACUCCUUUCUAAGAUAAGGAAGCAAAAAGACCAUUGUAUGACAAGAUCUGAAUCUAAUAGUGUAAACGAAGAAGUGACCAUUAACUCUGGUUCCAUAACUGUUGAAGAAUCCAAACAAACAACUUUGGCUGAAUCUACGAGCAAUGCAAAUUUAAGUGAAGAAUGGCCAGAAGUACGUUCAGUGCUCCCUGAUAGUAAUUAUCAAAGAGAAACUUCUGAAGAAACCAUAGUAGCUGGAAAUACUACUUUGUUCCAUCCAAAGGAGCAAGCAAAUAGAAUUCGAUCUGAUGUUGACCGAGUAAAGCAGUUGCAUGACUUGGAGCAGCAGAAGCAAGAACAGUUGGCUUUGCUGUGGCAGUCUGAACAUCAAAAGCAUGACCUUGAAGCUAAUUUGCGAAUAUCUCAGUUACAACAGCUGCAAGAAGCAACACAACUACAAGAAAGACUGAUCAGUGAUUCUGAAAAGCAAACCUGGCAGGAGAAUGAACAGUUGAAACAUUCCAAGAGCAUUGUGUCAAGUGAAGUUUCUCCAGAAGAUGAAAUCCAUCAGUAUCAACAGCACCUUAUUGAGCAAAACAGGUUACAUAAAACAAUAGUGGAAGAAACCAGGAAACAAUUAAAUGAAUAUCUGUUGGAAAAAGGAUUGCCUUCUGAUUCCACUUCUGCAAGCUGCCAGGUGCACAGUGAAAGCAAGAAUCACCUUGAUCUUUUAAGAUCUGAAAGGCGUGGUUUUGAAGUAAAUGGUGUGAAAGUAUUAGAACCUUCCCUGACGAUUUUAGAUGCAGUUGAGUCAGAGCAAGUCCUGAGUCAUGUGGGUUUAAUGGAGGAUGAAUUGAAGUCCAUACGUACACAACCAGGAACAACAGAAAUUGCAGAGGAAAGAUUGAAGCAGUCAAUGUGUUCGAUACCCUUGACAAAACCUAUUGAAAUACUAAAGAAUCAGGAAAGAGUAUCCGCCUCAUCAGUGGAUCUUUCUUUCCAGCAAGAACACUUAAUAGGAUUGCAGCAACAACUAUGGAGGCAGAGGCAAGAUCUUCUUGCCACACAGAAAUUACAACAAGAAUUCAUUUGUAGACAAAACCAAUUAAUGGAACAGAUGCAGCAACAGCAAUAUCAAGGCAUGGAGAAGAAAUGGACUGGAAAUCAGUCUGGACACCUGGCCUUACAGGAGGUAAUACCCGCAAGUGAAAAUGUUAAGCAGCUUACUGUCAUGCCGUACCAGAUGUGCUCCUUUGAGAAUUUUAAUACUGGAUCAACCAAUAAGAAUCCUGAUUUCACCAACAAAGAGCAGGACCAAGGUCCAGCACCAUCAGUUCAAAUAAAUGAAGCAUUAUUGCCUUUUUGGUAUUAUGAUUUCAAAACAAAACAAGCUGAAUGUUCCAAUGUUGAAGCUGUUAUAAGAGAAACUCGAUAUUACAAGCGUUCUAAACCACCUGUAACUAAGACAAGGUUGGGGCUUUGUGGAGUAAUUGAACAGCAUGAAUUAAGUUCCAUUCAGGAGGUGGAAUCACCUAAAAGUGACAGACUGUCUAUGUAUGAUGACGGGAUGACAAAGUCAAACGACUGCUAUAAAUCAGUAGCUAAAGAGUUAAUACCAAGUAUAAUGGAUCCUCCUCAUUCCUCUGAAGUAAUGGAAUUGGAUUUGUCCAACAUGUCCACACACAGUAGUCAAAAUUCUAGUGUGCCAAAAAGUACUGCAGAAUCUAUUCAAACAGGCAGAAUGACUUGGCGAGAGAAGCUUAACUUGGAAACUGGCAGUCUUCCAGUGCAAGCUUCUCUUUCAAAGUCACCAAGUUGUUUUGCCAAAAUUGAAAGUGAUGGGCUUGAAUACAGUGACCCAGCUUCAUGUAACAUAAAUAGUAUGGUAUUUCCUCACUAUUCAAAGGACUCAUGUUUUAAUGCUGUUGAAAAAACCUGUGAAGUAGAUCAAACAUCUACCACAACAUUGUCCACUGGAAGUUUUCCUUUGCAUGAACAAACAGCUCCUGGUCCCUUAAAUUCAGCAGGUGACCAUCAAUGUACCAUUGACAACAUUCCUAGUAGACAGUCAACUCCUACUUCGCCUGUAUGCAUAUGGAAUUUGCCACCUUCAUUUCCUGAAUACCAGUAUACAAUGAAGGCCCAAAGUAAUGUUUUUAGCACCAGUGAGGAAAGAAGUACUUCUAAUGAAAGCAAUAUUGAAAAACUAAUUGAGAAGUAUACCCAAGAUCUAAGCAAAUUACUGGAUUCAGGUGGAAAAUGUCAAGAUUCCACAACUGGUUGUGAUAUUUCAAACCUGGAAUUCCUCAACCCCUUUCUUCAGCGGCAUAAUUGUCAACAGGAUUCAGAUUUUGAAUUUCAGCCUUUGGAGUGCAGACCUGACUUUAGCAUUAAUAGUUCUUCAUUAUCUCUGACAUCUAGCAAGAAUUCAAAUUUCCCAAGUAUUGGCAGCACCUCAGGAAAUCAGCGUUCUAUCCCAACUGCAACUUCAGACAAAGAAUCCUCUAGCAACACUCUAGCCUCUGACAUAACAGCCUCAGAUAUAGAUCAACCAGAGGACCACAUUCAGCAGUCCUAUGAGGAAAACAGUAGUUUGGAUUUUUUCCAACCUGUACAUCUGGAAAUCUCUCCAAGACAAUACAAUUCAAAUACUGAUCAUUCUAGUGAAAAUUUAGAGCAGGAAUGUCAUAAUGAAAAUUCAACAAAUACUGAGUAUGUUCCAUCUGACCUGUCAAGAGCUGGAAGGGUAGUUGCUGAUUCAUUGACUGUGGAUUCCAUAAAUCAAUCAUCUUAUUCUGAACCAGGCAUUGAAAAAUUGCGAGUUGGUGAUGGAGAAAAUUCUCAAGAGCAUGCUGAUUCAUUCUUCCAACAAAAUGGAACAUUGACUACUGUGAGUGAGUUUGAAAUGCCUAACCAAGAUGAAAAAUGGCUGGAGGAUUGCGAGUCUAAAAAACAGAUAGUUGCCUUCACCAAGACAAUAAAUUCAGAUGACAAAGUCACUCUGGAAAGUCUAUGUAUUGAAGCCUCUAAGUUAAUGUUAUCGGAAGAAGACAAUUGUGUUUAUAGUAAAUUGCACCAAAUUACAGAACAGAAUUCCAUGAUGCAAUCUAAACAGUUACCUCAUACAAAGGAAGGAACUGACACUGUCAUGGAACGUGAGGGUGAAUUCGAACCUCAUUGGGAUCGGUCUCAACCAUCGGCAUCAAAUCUAAUGCCAGGGAUUUGCCAGUUAGGGACACUUACACCAGGGACAGAAUCAGAUGUUGGAAUUAUGGAAGAACCAGAACUGACACAGCUAACACUGAAUGAGUCAACGUUAUUAGAUGAUGAACUAGGUCAAGAGGUUGCAGUUGAACAUAUAACUACUGAAAAUGAUUUAAGUGAAAUACAAGCACCUUCUCAGGCAAAUGGAAUACAGCCUGUAAUUCCCGUGAACACAAGUUCUGAAUCACAAAAAUCUGAAGUUAUAAUAUUUGAGUUUGAACCAUCUGCUAAGAUUUUGAAUGAAGCAGUUUUGAAGAGAAAACAGAAAUUUCUUGCAAAUUCUGCAAAACGCGUAAAAGACUUGAAAAGGAAAGAAAAAUCUGGAAUAGUGAAGUCUGAACUAUAUGCUAGACCAAUUAGUCAUGGGCAAGGACAGACUUCUGGUUUUGCAGCAUCAUCAUCAUCAUCAUCAUCAUCAUCAGUGGCAACUCAUUUGAAGAUGGUGGGAGAAGUAAAAGUCUCCACUCCAGAGGACAGGAAAGCUGUAGAAGUUGAGAUGCGACAAAGAACACUCCGUCUCUACAGUCAGCUUGAAGAAGUGAAAAACAAGAAAAGGGAAGUGAACAGACAAACAGUUUGUGCUAGAAAUCGAGAAAAAGCAAAAGAAUUUCAGAAGAGAACAUUGGAAAAGCUAAGAGCAAACAGAGUUCGCAAGUGAUGCAUCUGCGACCUUUGGAUCAAUCAAAAAUAAUUGCAUCGUGAUGUAUAUAAGUUCAAGAGCCUGAUGGCUGAGGGGUAAUAAUAGUUCCUAAACCUGGACGUGUGGGCCCUUAGGCUCCUGUAACUUCCUGAUGACAGCAGCGAGAAGAGAACGUGGCCUGGAUGGUGAGGGUCCUUAAUAAUGGAUGCUACUUUCCUGUGGCAAAGCUCUGUGUAGAUGUGCUCAGUGGUGGUGAGUAACAGCCACAGAUAUUUUUUUGUUCUUUUAUUGAAUACUGCCUCAUACACCAUGUGGUUUAGUACUGUGAAACUUAACAGAGAAUUCCAUAGAGAACAUCCCUGUAUCUUUAACCUUAAGUUUUAAAAUGACAAAUCAGCAUAUGGGAGGGAGAUUCAAAAACUGGUUGAGUCGUGCCACAACAACAACUUAUUUAAUAUCAGCAAAACCAAAGUGAUCAUUGAUUACAGGAGAAUGAAACUAGGGGGUCCAUGAGCUUGUCCUCAUUAGGGGAUUGAAAGUGGAAUCAGUAACAUUAAAUUUCCUUGGCAUUAUCAUAUCACUCUUUCACAAGUUCUACCAGUCUGCUGUUGACAGUACAAUCUUCUAUGCAGGUGAUGUGCUGCGGCAAUGGCGUCAAUUCAGGUGAUGCCAACUGGCUGUGAUAUCGGAGUCAAACUGGACACACUGGAGGCUGUGGUAGAACAAAGGGCCCUAUGGAAAAUCCUGGCAAUUCUGGAGAAUGUUUCUCGUCCUCCACAUGCCACCUUGGCUGAACAGAGGAACUCUUUUAGUAUCAAGUUAAGACAGAUGCGGUGCUCCAAAGAGUGCUAUAUUAGGUCAUUCUUACCCUCGGCCAUUAGGCUUUAUGAUGAGUCAACCUAUAGCCAGGGAAGUGAUGACCCCCUCCUGUUAGACUGUUCGAGGUAACUUAUUUUUUUGUGUUCUUAAUUCUUUCCUAAUACUUGUAUAUUGCAUAUCUGUGCACUUGUAAUGCUACUGUGACUAAUUUCCUUUGGGAUCAAUAAAUUAUCCAUCUAUCUAUAUUAGAGAAUCUGUCCUGGCACUGGAAUGUAAGUGUCAUUUCAGAGAGGGCACGGCAGCACCUCUUCUUUCUUAGAAGUUUUUAGCAGAAUUGGCAUGUUAUUUAAAACUUUGACAAACUUCUGUGUAUACACAGUGGAGGAUAUCCUAACUUGUUGCAUCGAAUGCUGAUAUGGAAACACCAAUAUCCAGGAACAUUGUACUAUUGGGAAAGUGGUACAUAAGCCUGAAGGCCUGCACUCACCGAUUCAGCAACACCUUUUUUUCCCCCAUGUUCUAAAUGAACAUUGAACCCAUGAACACUACCUCACUAUCUUUUAUUGUUUGUUGUGUAUUACUUAUUUUAACUUAAACUUAUUGUUACUAGUUUGAAGUUAGCUAUAUUAACUUUUAUUAUUUUAACUUCAAACUAGCUGUAGCUCAUUUUGGCCUCUGUUAUUUUUUUGUGUUCUCAGCCAUUCUUUCUUGUUGCUGAUUGGUGGGCUGAGGAUUUGGGGUUUGAUGUUCUUGUUUCUCCAUGUGGGUAAUCUGUUAGUUUUUGUGUGGGGGGGGGUUUGAGGUUUGUG